GGGUAACUAGCUCAAUGGUAGAGUACUCGGCUUUUAACCGAUUGGUUCCGGGUUCGAGUCCCGGGUUACUCA
RNAcentral lists this transfer RNA (72 nucleotides) under Prototheca zopfii. RNAcentral describes it as "tRNA-Lys". It matches the Rfam family "tRNA". From Rfam's summary of the family: Transfer RNA (tRNA) molecules are approximately 80 nucleotides in length. Their secondary structure includes four short double-helical elements and three loops (D, anti-codon, and T loops). RNAcentral also lists the same sequence under 4 other names. The record is from RNAcentral. Lineage: Eukaryota; Viridiplantae; Chlorophyta; Trebouxiophyceae; Chlorellales; Chlorellaceae.